This 73-nucleotide transfer RNA is filed under the name Stegodyphus mimosarum. It matches the Rfam family "tRNA". From Rfam's summary of the family: Transfer RNA (tRNA) molecules are approximately 80 nucleotides in length. Their secondary structure includes four short double-helical elements and three loops (D, anti-codon, and T loops). Further hydrogen bonds mediate the characteristic L-shaped molecular structure. tRNAs have two regions of fundamental functional importance: the anti-codon, which is responsible for specific mRNA codon recognition, and the 3' end, to which the tRNAs corresponding amino acid is attached (by aminoacyl-tRNA synthetases). tRNAs cope with the degeneracy of the genetic code in two manners: having more than one tRNA (with a specific anti-codon) for a particular amino acid; and 'wobble' base-pairing, i.e. permitting non-standard base-pairing at the 3rd anti-codon position. Lineage: Eukaryota; Metazoa; Arthropoda; Arachnida; Araneae; Eresidae. The record is from Rfam by way of RNAcentral.
GCCUUCGUGGUGUAGUGGUUAGCACGCUGAACGCGUAUUCCAGAGGUCCGUGGUUCGAGUCUCUGCGAAGGCG